Molecule: long non-coding RNA, 3487 nt
Organism: Brassica napus (rape)
Lineage: Eukaryota; Viridiplantae; Streptophyta; Magnoliopsida; Brassicales; Brassicaceae
Exons: 7
Source: RefSeq, a predicted model, not a curated record
UUCAGCAGGAUGUGUGACAUGCUUUUCACAGCAACCUCUCACCCCCUUGCUGAAUUUAUCUUCUUUCUUGACAACCAUUGUCGACAAUGGAUUGACAUGGAGAGAAUAUACAUUAAGGUAAAGAGUAUGCAUAAGCUUGCUUCCACAUCUUUCUCAGUCUCUCGCUCUAUUUCUUCUGAUUAGCUUAUUGGUGAAUUCUGAAGCUUUCUUGAUUGGAUCAGUGGUCGAGACGAUAGAGAGCCUUGCAUUGGAGACCACAAAGAGGCGUACCUAUAAAAUCUGUGUCUAUACAUUACUGAUUACUCCCUGGGCUCUUUGAAUAUUUCCUCCAUCCCUAAGUGUUGAUUAAGAGACAUACUUCUUGCUUCUCUUUGCUUAAUUAAUAACCAUUUCCAGCUUUUUGUAGAUAUCCAAAGGAAUCAGACAAAAUCAUGCUUGCGAAGCAGACUUCCUCAGGGUGAUUAAGUUGCUUAACUAGACAAUAAGAGUGGUGCUCGAGUAUAUGAAUGAUCCAAAGGAACAUGGAAAGAAGAGAGGAAAUAAUCUUCUUGCUUCUGUGCAAGUGAUUGGAAGGGAGUUUUGAGUACUCCUUAUGGAAGAACAUUGAUAGUCUCUGUCACUUCAGCUUUCACUGAACAUUGAUAAUCCAGCCCUUUUGGGUCCACUUGCUUCUUACAAGUUAAAAUAUUUAGCAAUCGUCAAUAGCAGAGCUGAACAUUUGUUCGAAGUGAUCAACUCGAGAGAUGAUGUGCUUAGGACGUGGAUGAGACGGUAUAUGUAUCUCAGUUUUGAAGAAUAUGCAGGAGGAGGCUGUGAGGGAUGAUGAUAUUGUCUUCAAGGGUCUACCAUCCACUGAGCCAUUCUAGGUGUUCAAUGGGAUUAGUAAAUACUGUAAGAAGAGGGUUACAACUCCUGGUAUCAUCUCUCUGGCCAAGGGUGUGAAAGCAGAGUUUGAACCUCAUCCUCCGAUUGUUACUCAUGCUUGAAUGAUCUAACGAGCAUAGAGAUUCACCAAAAAUACCAGAUCGCUUGAUUGUGUGUAGUGGUUAGUAAGCAUCAUAGGCCGCUACUGUUUACCCAAUGCAUCCAUGGCUAGCCACCUCUUCUUACUAAGAAGCGUCAGCCCCAAUAAAUGGAAUUGUAAGGUUAGCUUCUUCGUAAGUUUCUCUUCGUGAUUCCAAUCUGAGGAGCGUAGAUAUGGGGAAAAAUAUAGCUCCAGAUGCAGAGCUUCACUUUUAUAUAGGCAAAGACAGAUUUGUGAGAAUAACUCUUUACACCGAAAGGUCGAUUCUUCUGAUGGCUUGCACACGGGUUAAUGGCAUCAACAAGCAAGGAAACAUCACUAUGCUAGAUAAAAAUGGAGGGGAGAAACAUGUGGUGAAUCUUCUGCAGAGCAAAAUAAAAAACAGAACCAUCUUAAUGUGGAGCAUCUUUGCCUCACGUCUGUGUAUUCCGUUCGACGUUGGCUAGCAGUGGCGGAAAGUUUUGUUCUAUUACUUGGGUUUUAAGUUAUCAUUUGGCUGCUGGAACAUGAGUUAAAAGAGACAUUGUCAUCUUCUUAUAUCAAAUCCAUGAAAAGACUAUCAGGAUUUACUGUGUUAUGGGUAAUUGUUAUAGCUUUCAAGAAAAUUAUGAGAUAUUGUGUUCAAAUGCAUUUCAAAAUAAGUGAAGAGAUUCUAAGAAAAGGUGCAGUUCUCUUAUUUGGCUUUGGGCACCUUCUGAUUUUUAGGAGUUUCUGCAAAUAGCUGGCGAAAAAAAAAGACUCUAGAUGCCAAUUUUCAUGGCAUGAGCAUGACGCACAUCAGUCAUCAAACAUCAUUAUAAGUGGCAUUUCAUAUAUAUUUUGAAAACCCAUUAGAUUCUUUAAUACUGUAAAUAAUAAGUUAGUUUUAAAAAACUCAAAAAUUCUAAAACCAAAAACAAAGCUUGAAAGUUUGAACCAGUUGUUAUUAACGAUGUAUUUUCAUGGAAUUCUAUGAAUAAUUUUAUCUAAUGUCCUUGAAGUACUUCUAAAUAUGAAUGAUGAACUGGAUUAUAAUUCAAAGUUAAAAAAAAUGUUUUAUUACACUCAUUUCAAAUUCGAUAUAGACAUAUUUAUAAUAUGGCGACAAUAUAUAUAUAUAUAUAUAUAUAUAUUAAAUACAAAAAUAUUUUUCAAAAUCCGGGCGUAGCCCGGAAGAAUCUCUAGUAUGUAUAAAUGUAAGUUAUUUUCUUUUAAAAGUACAUAUAUUAUAGCGACAAUGUCUAAAUGUGCUAAGACAUGAAAAAGUGCAUUUAUAUGUAAAUUUCUCUUGUUUAUUUUACUAUGUUUUAUAAUCCUUAAAUCUUGUGACUAAUACUGAAUUUGUUACCACAGUUCUUUAUACAACCAAAUUUACUCAAAAACCAACUGUGAUUUGGAUUAAUCAAAAAGAUAUUAAUAUUAAUACACCAGAAUAUCUGAAUUUUAAACAUAAUAAACUGUUCAUUUAUUAUAAUUCAACUGAUGGAAUAAGCUGAAAUAUAACAUGAUGCAAAUAAAAUUAUUUGCCCUGUUUGUAGUUUCUAUUGCUUUCUAAAAGCUCAACAGGAAGAAUCAACAAAAUGUUUUUUUUUUUAAUAUUUAAUUGAAAAACAAUAUACGCUAGGAUUUCAUUUCAAAGUGGAGUUUUUUAGUACAUGUUUUGACACUCAAAAUUUCAAGUCAGACCUUUCGGUAGUUUCUAACUUGUAUCAAUGGACUAGACGGAUUUCUAGGGAGAUUAUUUUGUUUUAUCUAUCUAGCAAACAAAAUUAGUUCAAAAGGUAAACAUUUUUCUCUUGAGAACUAAAAAGAACUUGAACAUUUUCUACCAUGCAUUCUUGUAGGCCUAAUGCAGAUACAUAGUAAAGGGCCCAAAAUAAGCGGGUCGCGAUUGCUCGAACAAGAAUAAACACCAGAGAGACAUAUUAACGCUUAGAUAACUAGCUUGAAUUGAACUUUGAUAACCUCUUUUCAGAUAUAUAGUGUUGAUCUCUUUAAUUUGUGUUGUGAAUUUUACGGGAGGAGUAAGUUUAUGAAUCUAGGCUCUAGCCUAAUGUUUUUGAGAUGUUCCUAAAAGAACAGUAGUAAACGUACGUGUAGAUUUCAAAUUUAUUAUUAAUGUAAAGAGAGAUUUGAAUGCGUUAUGAAACAGAGAAACCUCUAAAAGCGAAUGCUUUAAGGAACAGAGGAGCCCUUUCUUGGAAAUAGAAAACGAUUGGAAAGUUUCAACGAACGAUUCAAUGAUCCCAACACUAUAAAUUUUCUCAAUGCAUUUUCAUACGAUUAAUAAGAUCUAAUUUCUAAUUAAUUUGUUAAACUUAAAAAAUUAAAACUCGGCAAGAUAAAUGAAAAGUGAUUUAACAUUGCGUUUCCAGAUAUCAGAUACCUAACCACGAACUGUUACAACCAAAACAGCAGAACCAAACAUAACACAUAGAGAGAAACAUAAACCCGAACCCAGAAACGGACCAGACACAACAACAA